Molecule: ribosomal RNA, 498 nt
Filed under: uncultured bacterium
Lineage: Bacteria
Description: partial 16S ribosomal RNA
Rfam family: Bacterial small subunit ribosomal RNA
Source: RNAcentral
AUUGAACGCUGGCGGCAUGCCUUACAGAUGCAAGUCGAACGGUAACAGGUCUUCGGACGCUGACGAGUGGCGAACGGGUGAGUAAUACAUCGGAACGUGCCCAGUCGUGGGGGAUAACUACUCGAAAGAGUAGCUAAUACCGCAUACGAUCUGAGGAUGAAAGCGGGGGACCUUCGGGCCUCGCGCGAUUGGAGCGGCCGAUGGCAGAUUAGGUAGUCGGUGGGAUAAAAGCUUACCAAGCCGACGAUCUGUAGCUGGUCUGAGAGGACGACCAGCCACACUGGGACUGAGACACGGCCCAGACUCCUACGGGAGGCAGCAGCGGGGAAUUUUGGACAAUGGGCGAAAGCCUGAUCCAGCAAUGCCGCGUGCAGGAUGAAGGCCUUCGGGUUGUAAACUGCUUUUGUACGGAACGAAAAAGCUCCUUCUAAUACAGGGGGCCCAUGACGGUACCGUAAGAAUAAGCACCGGCUAACUACGUGCCAGCAGCCGCGGUAA